This 494-nucleotide ribosomal RNA is filed under the name uncultured bacterium. RNAcentral's name for it is "partial 16S ribosomal RNA". It matches the Rfam family "Bacterial small subunit ribosomal RNA", at positions 28 to 523 of the family's 1533-position model. The record is from RNAcentral.
GAUGAACGCUGGCGGCGUGCCUAACACAUGCAAGUCGAACGAGGUAUUUUGAUUGAAGUUUUCGGAUGGAUUUCAAGAUACCGAGUGGCGGACGGGUGAGUAACGCGUGGGUAACCUGCCUCAUACAGGGGGAUAACGGUUAGAAAUGACUGCUAAUACCACAUAAGCGCACAGUACCGCAUGGUACGGUGUGAAAAACUCCGGUGGUAUGAGAUGGACCCGCGUCUGAUUAGCUAGUUGGUGGGGUAACGGCCCACCAAGGCGACGAUCAGUAGCCGACCUGAGAGGGUGAUCGGCCACAUUGGGACUGAGACACGGCCCAGACUCCUACGGGAGGCAGCAGUGGGGGAUAUUGCACAAUGGAGGAAACUCUGAUGCAGCGACGCCGCGUGAGUGAAGAAGUAUUUCGGUAUGUAAAGCUCUAUCAGCAGGGAAGAAAAUGACGGUACCUGACUAAGAAGCCCCGGCUAACUACGUGCCAGCCGCCGCGGUAA